This 497-nucleotide ribosomal RNA is filed under the name uncultured bacterium. RNAcentral's name for it is "partial 16S ribosomal RNA". It matches the Rfam family "Bacterial small subunit ribosomal RNA", at positions 28 to 507 of the family's 1533-position model. The record is from RNAcentral.
GAUGAACGCUGGCGGCGUGCCUAAUACAUGCAAGUCGAGCGAACAGAUAAGGAGCUUGCUCCUUUGAAGUUAGCGGCGGACGGGUGAGUAACACGUGGGUAACCUACCUAUAAGACUGGGAUAACUUCGGGAAACCGGAGCUAAUACCGGAUAACAUUUAGAACCGCAUGGUUCUAAAGUGAAAGAUGGUUUUGCUAUCACUUAUAGAUGGACCCGCGCCGUAUUAGCUAGUUGGUAAGGUAACGGCUUACCAAGGCGACGAUACGUAGCCGACCUGAGAGGGUGAUCGGCCACACUGGAACUGAGACACGGUCCAGACUCCGACGGGAGGCAGCAGUAGGGAAUCUUCCGCAAUGGGCGAAAGCCUGACGGAGCAACGCCGCGUGAGUGAUGAAGGGUUUCGGCUCGUAAAACUCUGUUAUUAGGGAAGAACAAAUGUGUAAGUAACUGUGCACAUCUUGACGGUACCUAAUCAGAAAGCCACGGCUAACUACGUG